This 496-nucleotide ribosomal RNA is filed under the name uncultured bacterium. RNAcentral's name for it is "partial 16S ribosomal RNA". It matches the Rfam family "Bacterial small subunit ribosomal RNA", at positions 28 to 506 of the family's 1533-position model. The record is from RNAcentral.
GAUGAACGCUGGCGGCGUGCCUAAUACAUGCAAGUCGAGCGAACGGACGAGAAGCUUGCUUUUCUGAUGUUAGCGGCGGACGGGUGAGUAACGCGUGGAUAACCUACCUAUAAGACUGGGAUAACUUCGGGAAACCGGAGCUAAUACCGGAUAAUAUUUUGAACCGCAUGGUUCAAAAGUGAAAGACGGUCUUGCUGUCACUUAUAGAUGGAUCCGCGCUGCAUUAGCUAGUUGGUAAGGUAACGGCUUACCAAGGCAACGAUGCAUAGCCGACCUGAGAGGGUGAUCGGCCACACUGGAACUGAGACACGGUCCAGACUCCUACGGGAGGCAGCAGUAGGGAAUCUUCCGCAAUGGGCGAAAGCCUGACGGAGCAACGCCGCGUGAGUGAUGAAGGUCUUCGGAUCGUAAAACUCUGUUAUUAGGGAAGAACAUAUGUGUAAGUAACUGUGCACAUCUUGACGGUACCUAAUCAGAAAGCCACGGCUAACUACGU